RNAcentral lists this long non-coding RNA (242 nucleotides) under Durio zibethinus. RNAcentral's name for it is "long non-coding RNA (DZIB_LNC000034)". The record is from RNAcentral. Lineage: Eukaryota; Viridiplantae; Streptophyta; Magnoliopsida; Malvales; Malvaceae.
CUCGUAACAAGCUAAAACUCUAGCCGCUAAACCAGACUACCGUUGUUUCCAUCGUCGUCUGACCCUAGAGAAAACCUCUCCUCUUCGAUUCUCCUUCCCUCUCUUCUUUAGUGUGGCCAACCCAAAUUUAUUUAGAACAAAUCUCCCAAGAUUGGCCGGUCACCAAGCAACCUAGAAACCGGUGGAAUCUCGCUGUGACCGUUGCUUGUGCGCCACCACCGCUUAUACCCAGAACUCGGUUG